CAUUAAGUGACUGAAAGAAAGUAAUGGUCUCUUAAACCAAAACAUGGUAAGUAACGCCUACCCUUAAUG
This 69-nucleotide transfer RNA is filed under the name Ectomocoris horridus. RNAcentral's name for it is "tRNA-Lys". Lineage: Eukaryota; Metazoa; Arthropoda; Insecta; Hemiptera; Reduviidae. The record is from RNAcentral.